AGAGUUUGAUCAUGGCUCAGGAUGAACGCUAGCGGCAGGCUUAAUACAUGCAAGUCGAGUGGCAGCGCAGUGUAGCAAUACAUGGGCGGCGACCGGCAAACGGGUGCGGAACACGUACGCAACCUUCCUUCAAGCGGGGAAUAGCUUUCGGAAACGAAAAUUAAUACCCCACAGUAAUGUCUGAGGGCAUCUGAGGACAUUUAAAGAUUUAUCACUUGAAGAUGGGCGUGCGCCUGAUUAGGUAGUUGGCGGGGUAACGGCCCACCAAGCCUACGAUCAGUAACUGGUGUGAGAGCACGACCAGUCACACGGGCACUGAGACACGGGCCCGACUCCUACGGGAGGCAGCAGUAAGGAAUAUUGGUCAAUGGACGCAAGUCUGAACCAGCCAUGCCGCGUGGAGGAUGAAGGUCCUCUGGAUUGUAAACUUCUUUUAUCGGAGAAGAAACCCCAGCAUUCUUGUUGGGUUGACGGUACCCGAUGAAUAAGCACCGGCUAACUCCGUGCCAGCAGCCGCGGUAAUACGGAGGGUGCAAGCGUUAUCCGGAUUCACUGGGUUUAAAGGGAGCGUAGGUGGGCUGGUAAGUCAGUGGUGAAAUCUCCGGGCUUAACUCGGAAACUGCCGUUGAUACUAUCAGUCUUGAAUAUUGUGGAGGUAAGCGGAAUAUGUCAUGUAGCGGUGAAAUGCUUAGAUAUGACAUAGAACACCGAUAGCGAAGGCAGCUUGCUACACAAUUAUUGACACUGAGGCUCGAAAGCGUGGGCAAACAGGAUUAGAUACCCCAGUAGUCC
RNAcentral lists this ribosomal RNA (792 nucleotides) under uncultured bacterium. RNAcentral's name for it is "bacterial SSU rRNA". It matches the Rfam family "Bacterial small subunit ribosomal RNA", at positions 8 to 796 of the family's 1533-position model. The record is from RNAcentral.